This 887-nucleotide ribosomal RNA is filed under the name Cephalotrichum verrucisporum. RNAcentral's name for it is "partial 28S ribosomal RNA". It matches the Rfam family "Eukaryotic large subunit ribosomal RNA", at positions 38 to 952 of the family's 3401-position model. The record is from RNAcentral. Lineage: Eukaryota; Fungi; Ascomycota; Sordariomycetes; Microascales; Microascaceae.
GCAUAUCAAUAAGCGGAGGAAAAGAAACCAACAGGGAUUGCCUCAGUAACGGCGAGUGAAGCGGCAACAGCUCAAAUUUGAAAUCUGGUCCCCUCUGGGGGCCCGAGUUGUAAUUUGAAGAGGAUGCUUUUGGCGAGGCGCCUUCCGAGUGCCCUGGAACGGGACGCCACAGAGGGUGAGAGCCCCGUAUGGUAGGACGCCGAGCCUCUGUAAAGCUCCUUCGACGAGUCGAGUAGUUUGGGAAUGCUGCUCAAAAUGGGAGGUAAACCCCUUCUAAAGCUAAAUAUUGGCCAGAGACCGAUAGCGCACAAGUAGAGUGAUCGAAAGAUGAAAAGCACUUUGAAAAGAGAGUUAAACAGCACGUGAAAUUGUUGAAAGGGAAGCGCUUGCGACCAGACUUGCGCCCGUCGGAUCAACCGUCCCUCGUGGGCGGCGCACUCCGGCGGGCUCAGGCCAGCAUCAGUUUUCCCGGGGGGAGAAAGGCGGUGGGAACGUAGCUCUUCGGAGUGUUAUAGCCCGCCGCGUAAUGCCCUCGGGGGGACUGAGGACCGCGCGUAUGCAAGGAUGCUGGCGUAAUGGUCGUCAGCGACCCGUCUUGAAACACGGACCAAGGAGUCGUCCUAAUAUGCGAGUGUACGGGUGUAAAACCCCUGCGCGUAAUGAAAGUGAACGGAGGUGAGAGCUUCGGCGCAUCAUCGACCGAUCCUGAUGUUCUCGGAUGGAUUUGAGUAAGAGCAUAUUGGGCCGGACCCGAAAGAAGGUGAACUAUGCCUGUAUAGGGUGAAGCCAGAGGAAACUCUGGUGGAGGCUCGCAGCGGUUCUGACGUGCAAAUCGAUCGUCAAAUAUGGGCAUGGGGGCGAAAGACUAAUCGAACCUUCUAGUAGCU